UUUUUGUCUGCGUUAAACUUUUCAUAAUCUUGCUCCAUUUAAUUUGCAAGGAAACUCAAUUUGAACUAUGACCUUAGCAGUUGAAGCGUAAAAGCAGAUUCACUGCCUCGACAGGGCUGCUCGGUGAAUUAAGUUCCAGACUAUUCCUCAACUAAAGACUGUUAGAUAACAGUGCAGAGCAAAAAACAGAAAUAUUCUUAAGGAAAAAUAUAGCUAUUUUAAACACUAGACACUUGUGAAAUCACAGUGCCUGCAAACAGUUGCUCGUCACAAAAGAUUCGCUUAACACGGAUCCCCUGGCUGGCGAUUUACGGCCCCGCUUUGUUCCAAUCCAAGACCCUUCAAGGGGGGUGUAGGGUGUGUUGUGGGUUGUCGGGAUUUGUGUGACUGGUUGCCUGGGCAGCGCGGCAUUCAUUCAUGGAUGGAAAAAAUGUGCGAGAACCUUUUGUUCUGCUGAAACUGGCGCACAAAAUUUAAGUGAAUGAAUGCUAUAAAUAAGAUGUAAUAUCAAUAAGAAUCGCUAGGGAAUAUCUGGUCAUAAGCCCUGUCCACAAAUCAAUUCGAUUCAUCAUCCUGAAAUGCAUCUUGCACAUCCGAGAAACUUCUGUCAUUCUAGUUAUACAAGCACCUUGUUACCCCUUGUUGCAUGCCCCUCUUUCGAACAAUCGACUUCGAACAACGAUGACGCCCACACAUUUGCGAGAGUUGUAAAAAGCAAAACAAGACAACAGCAAAAUUACAUGAAUUGCAGGCAACUACGAAAUGGAAACCCGAAUGGAAGCAAUGGCGAGUCAAGCAUACCAUGAAUGAAGGAGAAACUACGAUUAUAUUCAUAGUUAUACUCGUACUUAUACUAUGCAA
Drosophila grimshawi is the source of this 861-nucleotide long non-coding RNA. RefSeq lists it as uncharacterized. The record is from RefSeq and is a predicted model, not a curated record. NCBI's taxonomy places the organism in Eukaryota, Metazoa, Arthropoda, Insecta, Diptera, Drosophilidae. The transcript has 3 exons.